CCUUGCUCUGCGCUGAGGUGCUGGGACAGCCAUGAUUUCAGACGUUCACUUUAUCCAAAUGCAUAGAUGCUGUGAUGGUGCUGGGAAAUUCGCAUUUAUUCAUGAAUCGUUCCAACAAACUUGCUGUGAUAGCAAGUCACAUUCAAGAAAGCCGAUUCUUAUAUCCUGGAAAGAAUGGCAGACUUGGAGACUUCUUCGGAGACCCAGGCAACCCUCCUGAAUUUAAUCCCUCUGGAAGUAAAGAUGGAAAAUACGAACUUUUAACCUCAGCAAAUGAAGUUAUUGUUGAAGAGAUUAAAGAUCUAAUGACCAAAAGUAACAACUUUUUUAAAUUGUUAUUUUGCGAAUAGCAUUGAUUUUGGAGGUCCUUUAGGCUUUAAGUUCAAAGAUGUGAGGUUCUUUAUUUGUAUGCCUGCACGUUCUCACUUUUUAAAAAUCAUUUUCAUCAAAGUCGGUUCAUUAUUUCCCUAGCCUCUACAGCAUUUGACACUGCUGACCAGCCUUUACUUCUUGAAAUAUGACUUUUGGCUUCUACGAAUGCCCUGUGACCUGUUUUUCGUCUUUUCUUGAAACGUUAUUUCAUA
RNAcentral lists this small RNA (584 nucleotides) under Pongo abelii (Sumatran orangutan). Its description in RNAcentral is "retained intron". Lineage: Eukaryota; Metazoa; Chordata; Mammalia; Primates; Hominidae. The record is from RNAcentral.